ACUAGUGAUUUAACUUGUUGGUUAUUAAGUUGAAUCAUGAUACUACAUUGGAUCUAUUAUAUUCUAAUAGUUGGGAAUAUUUUGUGCAUCUUGGUAUUAUGUUUGUGUAAGAUAAAGUUGAUGAUGUGUUUCUCUCAACUGUUUGGAUACUUGGUAAUAUCGUAUAUAUGUUUAUUUUGCGUGGCAUUUCUUGCCAUUUUGUUACUAUUUUCAUUAGUCUCACACUAGGUGUCUAAAAGAAGGUGACCUCUAUUUGGGUGGAUAAACCAGAUAAUU
Molecule: long non-coding RNA, 276 nt
Filed under: Panax ginseng (ginseng)
Lineage: Eukaryota; Viridiplantae; Streptophyta; Magnoliopsida; Apiales; Araliaceae
Description: long non-coding RNA (PGIN_LNC006981)
Source: RNAcentral